UCUCUGGUGGCCCAGUGGCUAAGACUCCGUGCUCCCAAUGCAGAAGGCCCAGGUUUGAUUCCUGGUCAGGGAA
RNAcentral lists this transfer RNA (73 nucleotides) under Bos taurus (domestic cattle). It matches the Rfam family "tRNA". Rfam says of the family: Transfer RNA (tRNA) molecules are approximately 80 nucleotides in length. Their secondary structure includes four short double-helical elements and three loops (D, anti-codon, and T loops). Further hydrogen bonds mediate the characteristic L-shaped molecular structure. tRNAs have two regions of fundamental functional importance: the anti-codon, which is responsible for specific mRNA codon recognition, and the 3' end, to which the tRNAs corresponding amino acid is attached (by aminoacyl-tRNA synthetases). tRNAs cope with the degeneracy of the genetic code in two manners: having more than one tRNA (with a specific anti-codon) for a particular amino acid; and 'wobble' base-pairing, i.e. permitting non-standard base-pairing at the 3rd anti-codon position. The record is from Rfam by way of RNAcentral. Lineage: Eukaryota; Metazoa; Chordata; Mammalia; Artiodactyla; Bovidae. RNAcentral also lists the same sequence under 1 other name.